ACCUGGUUGAUCCUGCCAGUAGUCAUAUGCUCGUCUCAAAGAUUAAGCCAUGCACGUCUAAGUAUGAGCCUUUACACGGCGAGACUGCGGACGGCUCAUUAAAUCGGUCAUGAUCCGCUCGGCCGCGACCUCGCUCGGACAACCGUAGCAAUCCUAGAGCUAAUACGUGCGAAAGGGCCCCCCCGCGAGGGGGGGCCCGCGUUCGUCAGGCGAAGGACCGACGCGGGCCGCGAGGCCCGACGGACGGCGAAUCGGGACGACCCCGCGGAUCGCACGGCCCCGCGCCGGCGACGCCCCGUCCGAAUUUCCGCCCUAUCAACUCCCGACGGCGGGAUAGAGGCCCGCCGUGGUGCUCACGGGUGACGGAGAAUCGGGGUUCGAUUCCGGAGAGGGAGCCUGAGAGACGGCUACCACUUCUACGGAAGGCAGCAGGCGCGAGUGACGAUAGAUAACGGCGCGAGGCCCGCGGGUCUCGCGGCCGGAACGAGGACGACCCAAACCCGCUACCGAGCAACGAUCGGAGGGCAAGUCUGGUGCCAGCAGCCGCGGUAAUUCCAGCUCCGAUAGCGUAUAUUAAAGUUGCUGCGGUUGAAGAGCUCGUAGUCGGACCUCUGCGGGCCGCGCGGGUCCCGGCCCGCCCCGAGCGGGCGCGCGCCGGACCCCGCGGCCCCUUUCCCGUCCGGGACGCUCCCCCCCCCUUUUCCCGCGAGGGAGGAGGGGGCCCGGGGGGCCCCGGACCAUUUACCUCGAAGAAACCGGGGUGUCCAAGGCGGGCCCGUCCGAGACGGCGCCUCGAACGUCGCAGCACGGGAUAACCAUCGCGGGCCGGGCCCCCGAUAUGACGUCGGUCCCGGGGGCGCGGCGCACGGUCGAAGGGGACGGUCGGGGCCAUCGAUACUUCGUCGUCAGAGGUGAAAUUCUCGGAUUGACGAGAGAUCGACGAGGGCGAAGGCUUUUGGCGAGGACGCCCCCCUCGAUCAAGAACGAAAGUUAGGGGAUCGAAGACGAUCAGAUACCGUCGUAGUCUUAACCGUAAACGAUGCCGACCGGGGAUCGGGGGGCGUCGCGCGCGUCGACCCCCCCGGCGCCCCGCGGGGAACCGGAGUCUUCGGGUUCCGGGGGGAGUAUGGUCGCAAGGCCGAAACUUAAAGGAAUUGACGGAAGGGCACCACCAGGAGUGGAGCCUGCGGCUUAAUUUGACUCAACACGGGGAAACUCACC
RNAcentral lists this ribosomal RNA (1221 nucleotides) under uncultured soil eukaryote. RNAcentral's name for it is "partial small subunit ribosomal RNA". It matches the Rfam family "Eukaryotic small subunit ribosomal RNA", at positions 1 to 1219 of the family's 1831-position model. The record is from RNAcentral.